UACGGAGGGUGCAAGCAUUAAUCGGAUUUACUGGGCGUAAAGGGCGCGUAGGUGGCAAAUUAAGUCAGGUGUGAAAUUCCGGAGCUCAAAUUCGGAGCUGCAUUUGAUACUGAUUAGCUAGAGGACGAGCAGGGAAAACGGAAUUCCGCAAGUAGCGGUGAAAUGCGUAGAUAUGCGGAAGAACACCGGUGGUGAAGACGGUUUUCUGGCUCGUUUCUGACACUGAUGCGCGAAAGCGUGGGGAGCAAACAGG
Molecule: ribosomal RNA, 253 nt
Filed under: uncultured bacterium
Lineage: Bacteria
Description: partial 16S ribosomal RNA
Rfam family: Bacterial small subunit ribosomal RNA
Source: RNAcentral